RNAcentral lists this ribosomal RNA (224 nucleotides) under uncultured bacterium. RNAcentral describes it as "partial 16S ribosomal RNA". It matches the Rfam family "Bacterial small subunit ribosomal RNA", at positions 116 to 334 of the family's 1533-position model. The record is from RNAcentral.
CGUAGGUAACCUGCCUGGUAGCGGGGGGUAACUAAUUGGAAACGAUAGCUAAUACCGCAUAAAAUUGAUUAUUGCAUGAUAGUCAAUUAAAAGGUGCAAUUGCAUCACUACCAGAUGGACCUGCGUUGUAUUAGCUAGUUGGUGAGGUAACGGCUCACCAAGGCGACGAUACAUAGCCGACCUGAGAGGGUGAUCGGCCACACUGGGACUGAGACACGGCCCAG